Molecule: ribosomal RNA, 464 nt
Filed under: uncultured bacterium
Lineage: Bacteria
Description: partial 16S ribosomal RNA
Rfam family: Bacterial small subunit ribosomal RNA
Source: RNAcentral
CUACGGGGGGCUGCAGUAGGGAAUCUUCGGCAAUGGGGGCAACCCUGACCGAGCAACGCCGCGUGAGUGAAGAAGGUUUUCGGAUCGUAAAGCUCUGUUGUAAGAGAAGAACGAGUGUGAGAGUGGAAAGUUCACACUGUGACGGUAACUUACCAGAAAGGGACGGCUAACUACGUGCCAGCAGCCGCGGUAAUACGUAGGUCCCGAGCGUUAUCCGGAUUUAUUGGGCGUAAAGCGAGCGCAGGCGGUUAGAUAAGUCUGAAGUUAAAGGCUGUGGCUUAACCAUAGUACGCUUUGGAAACUGUUUAACUUGAGUGCAGAAGGGGAGAGUGGAAUUCCAUGUGUAGCGGUGAAAUGCGUAGAUAUAUGGAGGAACACCGGUGGCGAAAGCGGCUCUCUGGUCUGUAACUGACGCUGAGGCUCGAAAGCGUGGGGAGCAAACAGGAUUAGAUACCCGCGUAGUC